Molecule: non-coding RNA, 953 nt
Organism: Myotis lucifugus (little brown bat)
Lineage: Eukaryota; Metazoa; Chordata; Mammalia; Chiroptera; Vespertilionidae
Source: the annotation of a RefSeq genome assembly
AUGGUCCCAGAGUGCAAGGCCCCCAAAGAAGGCGUCUCCGUGACCCUGGCCUGCUUGGUGACGGGGUCUGACUCAGCCACCUGGCACAUAGGAGCAGAGAAGCUGCCAGCAAAUGACGUUGUGAUUGGACAUUUGGUGCAGAGGGUCACCUACCUCUUCUACCAAACCAUCGUCUGGAAGCCUGGCUCACACAGCUGCAGCACCGAUCACACGUCCAAGACCUUCCAGUGGCCAGCAUCUUGGAAAACUCAGGCCAUCUCAGUGACCCACGUGCCACCUCUCUCAGAGAAACUCACCCCAGCCCCCACCACGGCCAGAGACCCAGCCCUUCUGGCCACCUCCCCCGGCAAGGACUCACAUUCUCCAGAGCCUUCCCGUGGCCCGGGCACAACCGGGGUUCUCCCUGCAGCUGCCACGGCGCCCAGCAGCCUCGCCGUCCGGGUCCUGGCCACGCCGGGCGCUCACACCUCUGCCCGGGCGGCCUCCUGGCUCCUGUGCGAGGUGUCGGGCUUCUCGGCCCCGGAGCUGCUCCUCACCUGGCAGGAGGGCCGGCGCCAGGUGGACUCUUCUUGGUUUGCCACCGCGGGCGCCCACAGCCGAGCCUGGAAACAGCACGUUCCGCACCUGGAGUGUCCUGCGGGUCCCGGCCACCCCCAGCCCCCCGCCGGCCACCUACACGUGCGAGGUCAGGCCCCCGGCCUCGGAGGCUGCUCAACGCCAGCUGGAGCCUGGACACUGCAGGCCUGGCCCCGCCCCUCUGGGGCCCCCUGAGCAUGCAGGAGGACUGUGAUGGCUACGCCCACCUGGACGAUGCCAGCCACCUCGGCUUUGUCACCUUCGUCAACGUGAAGGGCAGGGACAUCCAGGGGGCUCGCUGGAGCCGGCCAGGGACUGUGCGGAGCCGGGAAACCCGGGCAGGAGGACAGUGGGCUGUGGGCACUGGCCCGGCCUGA